Molecule: transfer RNA, 72 nt
Filed under: Bos taurus (domestic cattle)
Lineage: Eukaryota; Metazoa; Chordata; Mammalia; Artiodactyla; Bovidae
Also listed under: 5 other names
Rfam family: tRNA
About the family: Transfer RNA (tRNA) molecules are approximately 80 nucleotides in length. Their secondary structure includes four short double-helical elements and three loops (D, anti-codon, and T loops).
Source: Rfam by way of RNAcentral
UUCCUGGUGGCUCAGACAGUAAAGAAUCUGCCUGCAGUGCAGGAGACCCAGGUUUGGUCCCUGGUCAGGAAG